This 136-nucleotide ribosomal RNA is filed under the name Neogale vison (American mink). The record is from RNAcentral. Lineage: Eukaryota; Metazoa; Chordata; Mammalia; Carnivora; Mustelidae.
GUCUACGGCCAUACCACCCUGAACGUGCCCGAUCUCGUCUGAUCUCGGAAGCUAAGCAGGGUCGGGCCUGGUUAGUACUUGGAUGGGAGAAUCUACACACACAGAGAAAACUUUAAAAGUAUUAUCAUUGUAUCCC